UACGUAGGGCGCAAGCGUUGUCCGGAAUUAUUGGGCGUAAAGAGCGUGUAGGCGGCCAGGUAGGUCUGCUGUGAAAACUCGGGGCUUAACCCCGAGCCUGCAGUGGAUACGGGCAGACUAGAGGUAGGUAGGGGAGAAUGGAAUUCCCGGUGUAGCGGUGAAAUGCGCAGAUAUCGGGAGGAACACCGGUGGCGAAGGCGGUUCUCUGGGCCUUACCUGACGCUGAGGAGCGAAAGCGUGGGGAGCGAACAGG
Molecule: ribosomal RNA, 253 nt
Filed under: uncultured bacterium
Lineage: Bacteria
Description: partial 16S ribosomal RNA
Rfam family: Bacterial small subunit ribosomal RNA
Source: RNAcentral